UGGGGAAUUUUGGACAAUGGGCGAAAGCCUGAUCCAGCAAUGCCGCGUGCAGGAUGAAGGCCUUCGGGUUGUAAACUGCUUUUGUACGGAACGAAAAAGCUUCUCCUAAUACGAGAGGCCCAUGACGGUACCGUAAGAAUAAGCACCGGCUAACUACGUGCCAGCAGCCGCGGUAAUACGUAGGGUGCGAGCGUUAAUCGGAAUUACUGGGCGUAAAGCGUGCGCAGGCGGUUAUGUAAGACAGAUGUGAAAUCCCCGGGCUCAACCUGGGAACUGCAUUUGUGACUGCAUGCUAGAGUACGGUAGAGGGGGAUGGAAUUCCGCGUGUAGCAGUGAAAUGCGUAGAUAUGCGGAGGAACACCGAUGGCGAAGGCAAUCCCCGUGGACCUGUAGCUGACGCUCAUGCACGAAAGCGUGGGGAGCAAAC
RNAcentral lists this ribosomal RNA (427 nucleotides) under uncultured bacterium. RNAcentral describes it as "partial 16S ribosomal RNA". It matches the Rfam family "Bacterial small subunit ribosomal RNA", at positions 355 to 773 of the family's 1533-position model. The record is from RNAcentral.